UACGGAGGGUGCAAGCGUUAAUCGGAAUUACUGGGCGUAAAGCGCGCGUAGGCGGUUUGUUAAGCGAGAUGUGAAAGCCCUGGGCUUAACCUGGGAACUGCAUUUCGACCUGGCAAGCCAGAGUGUAGAAGAGGGGUGUGGAAUUUCCGGUGUAGCGGUGAAAUGCGUUUAGAUCGGAAGGAACACCAGUGGCGAAGGCGACACCCUGGUCUAACACUGACGCUGAGGUGCGAAAGCGUGGGUAGCAAACAGG
RNAcentral lists this unclassified non-coding RNA (253 nucleotides) under uncultured Cellvibrionales bacterium. Its description in RNAcentral is "contains 16S-23S intergenic spacer region". It matches the Rfam family "Bacterial small subunit ribosomal RNA", at positions 524 to 776 of the family's 1533-position model. Lineage: Bacteria; Pseudomonadati; Pseudomonadota; Gammaproteobacteria; Cellvibrionales. The record is from RNAcentral.